CCAAGAACAGAGAAAUGAAGCAGGGACCACUUGUUACAGCCUGCUCUGCCAAUAUAGAGAUUUUACACUACAAGCUAUUAUGAUGUCAUCUUAAUUUCCUGAGAUGCAGCGAAAAAGACCAAGCAGUGGAAGUUGUCAUGGCCAAACUCUCAAACAUCUGGUAUCUCUGAAAAGCCCAGGGAGCCCUCUGAUAAUUCCCCAAGAUUUACCACUGUAGCAUGUAUGGUCUAAGAAAAAUUUUAAUAAAAAAUGUCUUGC
Molecule: long non-coding RNA, 258 nt
Organism: Myxocyprinus asiaticus (Chinese sucker)
Lineage: Eukaryota; Metazoa; Chordata; Actinopteri; Cypriniformes; Catostomidae
Exons: 3
Source: RefSeq, a predicted model, not a curated record